UAUAAGUGUAAUGUCUACAAUAAAGACAGGCUUCAUAAUUCUAAGGCUGUUGGAAUUAAACCCAUAAUGCUUUUGUAAAUGUCAGAAUAAUAACUGGGUAAAUGGCAUAACAACAGGGAUAGCAGAUUAAAAAAAACACGAGUCUGUGUUUCAGCAGAAACGUCGUUGCAGGCUAGAGGGCGAUGGCACAGCACGAGCUAUUCAUUAAGCCCAGGCUUCCUGAUCCAAUCAAUAACACGCCUUUCCAAUUACACAGCGAGGAAGCCAUAGUAAACUCUCGCUGUCCGUAAAUGUUUUAGUAUUGACUGCGCUGGAAGCUCACCUUGUGCUGAGCAUGAAAACAAUGGCAAAGCAGGUGGGAGUGGAGCCAGGUGGAAAAAAAACAAAACAAACAAACAACAACAAUAACAACAACAAAAAAUGCAAGCCUAAAGAUAAUUGGUGUAACCACAUGAAAAAUUCAAUAGGAAAUAGGAACCAGUUCUUAUAAAGGUGAAUAGUGAGUAACGCACAUGGUCAAGUGGCACACACACAAACACAGUAAGCUGUUUACAUCAUUUCUCUGUGUGGACAGAGACAAAGCGAGACAAGUGGCCAAUUGCCGUUAUCGGGCUUGUUCUGAUUCAGCUGCCUAUGCACUCCUGUGUGUGCUGACAGCUUGGUGUGUGUGUCCAUUAUAAAUAGCUUCGCAGAGCUGAGACGUUAGAAACACGCUCCAGGACCGACGUCCCACCAAAUCAGAACUCCCAUGAUGCCUUGUUAUGGGCCCCGCCCUGCUCGGGGCGUGUAAUGAAAUAUGUCCGUGGUGAUGUAUGGCUGCCGGAGAGGCUACAUAAGAUAUUCGGGUUUCCCAGAAGACAAAAUAAUAACUUAUUAUAACUAAUUAUUAUUGGAGAUUUAGACUGAUUCACACUGAUCACCCUGAUCGCCCCCGCCCCAUAAGACACCCAAUUCAAAAGUUUUAUGUUCUCUCUUUUAAAAAAAAAAAUAAUAAUAAUAAAAAAAUUAUUAAUGUUUUGCAGAUUCUGCAAGGCGUGUGCAAACUGUAAAAUUAGCUAAAUUUGCCUUACAGUGUUUUUCAAGUGUAGAAUUAGGAGAAAUGUCUAGAAAUAAAUGUAAUAAUCAUAUAUUUGUUAUAUCGUAAUCUUAUAAUAGGAAAUACUAGGUAAAUUUGAUUACGUUUAAGUCAUUGUUU
Long non-coding RNA from Ictalurus punctatus (channel catfish), 1195 nucleotides. Lineage: Eukaryota; Metazoa; Chordata; Actinopteri; Siluriformes; Ictaluridae. The record is from Ensembl.